AUCACAAAAAUAAUGUAUAGCUUAAAUACGUAAAUACCUGAAGCAGCUUGUUGCGGCUCCCGACCCGCUGGGUGCCGCAGCCGUACCUGACCGGCACGGUCUCACCGACACCACAAACUUAAGCGAGCCGGUUGCCGCUUCGCUGCCUUCUCUGGGCAUGGCACCCAAAUCAAAGAUGGCGCGGACCACGUGGUCGCGUCCAUCUUAAGCUCCGCCCCUCUAAUACAAACGUGCGCAUGAUGUCAAGACGUCUACGCAUGCGCACGUUCUGGGGUCAGAGGUCACCCUCUGACCAAUCAGAAGCCAGAGAGGGAUAUUUAAAUCCCUAAUUCACUUUACUUCCUUGCCCUGUCGUGGUUUCCUGUUCCUGGUUCCCGAGAGUGCGUUUAUCUUUGUGAAACUGAUAUUCUGGUAUCCUGAUUGGAUUUGUCUUUUCCCUGGUUAUUCCGAAUUCUGGUUCCCCUGACUUGGCUUGUGUAAACGGUAUUUGAGUAUUUCUUCCUUGACCUCAGCUUUCCCUUUAACCAUUCUUUAUCUCUAGCGUAUUAGUCCGGACAUUCUAAGGUCUGGUGUACGCUCUGUCCUUUUAUUUUCCUUUUCUUUUGUAUGUAUAUAUUUACAUAGUUUCUGCGUGUUGGACCACACUAGCUGCCGGGACAUUAUGACAGGGCCAUGGUUCCUGCGGAACUAUGUAAACAUAUGAUUGCCUGUGAGAAUAGGGUGGAGGAUAUGGACUACAGGUUAGAUCAGUUUGCCCAAGCAUUCCAGACCUUGCUCCAGAGAACUGCCUAUCUGGAGGCACCUCCUGUACCACCUGUGAUUCCACCACCUGUGGUAGCACCGGUGGCACACAAACCACCGUCCAUAACCCUUUCACCUCCCACUCGUUUUGGGGGUGAUUCUAAAGAAUUUAGAGGUUUUUUUAAACCAAAUCGAAUACCACUUCGAAGCUGCCCCUGGUUCAUUCUCUACAGAUAGAUCGAAGAUUGGCUAUCUAAUGAACCAAUUAACGGGUAAGGCUUUAACCUGGGCUAAUCCCUCAUGGGAGAGUGGGAAUCCAGUAGCCCGUGAUUACAACGUAUUUCUAGCAGCAUCUAAAGCUACUUUUAAGCCAAAAGGGAGAGAAAAGAACGCUGCCAGAGCCCUAAUGAGAAUAAAACAAGGCAAUCGCUCUGUACCUGACUACGCCAUUGAGUUUAGAACUUUGGCGUCUGAGGUUGACUGGCCAAUAGCGGUCUAGUGGCUGCCUUCUCCGAAGGCCUAGCGGAGAAUAUACAAGACGAGACCACAGCCAGAGAUCUUCCGGUUACCCUUAAUGACUUUAUUGCCUACAUGAUAGAUAUUGACAACAGGCUCAGAGAAAGAGAGAAAAACAAACGUACUAGACGUUCUACCUUAUCCAUAGUCCCUCUCUAACCCAGUGGUAAUUAACCAUGCCCCACCUCCAGAACCAGAACCCAUGCAACUGGGCAUUACAAAACUCACUGAGGCAGAGAGACAAUACAGACGCAACGAGGGGUUAUGUUUAUAUUGUGGCAAAAGAGGACAUCAAAGAUUUUCAUGUCCGGUUCGGCCGGAAAAAUUGCGCACCUAAGGCACGUUCGGGGACCGACCUUAGGUGUGAUGUAUAUGUUCCCUAAAUUGACUAAGAACCGUUUCCUUAUAAGAGUUACUUUAUCUUGUAAGAAAACAGCUGUACAGUGUGAGGCUAUGAUUGACUCUGGGGCAGAGGAGAAUUUUCUAGACAAGGAAUGCUCUGCUAAAUAUCUCCUGCCCUUAAGGCAGAAAGAGAGAUCCAUAGCAGUGGAGGCCAUCGAUGGGAGACCCCUUACCCAGCCUCUCAUCACGCACGAAACCCUGCCAAUCACUGUCUCAGUGGGUAUUCUACAUUCUGAGGAAAUGGUUUUUCAAAUUAUAUCCUCACCCACAUGUCCGAUCAUACUCGGUUUUCCUUGGCUCCAGAAACACAAUCCACGUUUAGAAUGGGUUGAAGGCGAAAUCGUGAGUUGGGGUGAGAGAUGCAGAGGUCUUUUUUAAAAGCAGCUGCCACAACCUACUGGUACUAUCAAUAUACCUAUAGCGCCUCCCCUAACCACAGAAAUCCCACCCCAAUAUUUUGACCUACAGGAGGUAUUCAACAAAGUUCAGUCAGAAAUACUACCACCACAUAGACCCUACGACUGUACCAUAAACUUGUUACCAGGUACUAUGCCUCCCAAAGGAGGAGUAUAUGCACUAUCUCCUCAAGAAAAUCUAUCUUUAGAAGAGUAUAUAAAGGAUGCUCUCAGAAAGGGUCACAUACGUAGAUCCUCUUCACCUGCUGGGGCUGGGUUCUUCUUCGUUUCUAAAAAAGAAGGAGUCCUACGUCCUUGUAUAGACUAUAGGGGUUUGAAUAGGAUAACAAUAAAAACGCCUAUCCCAUUCCCCUUAUUUCUGAGUUAUUCGACAGGUUGAAAGGAGCCCGAGUCUUCACUAAGCUCGACCUCAGAAGUGCUUAC
This is a non-coding RNA of Pelobates cultripes (western spadefoot toad), 2498 nucleotides long. The record is from the annotation of a GenBank genome assembly. NCBI's taxonomy places the organism in Eukaryota, Metazoa, Chordata, Amphibia, Anura, Pelobatidae.